This 253-nucleotide ribosomal RNA is filed under the name uncultured bacterium. RNAcentral describes it as "partial 16S ribosomal RNA". It matches the Rfam family "Bacterial small subunit ribosomal RNA", at positions 524 to 776 of the family's 1533-position model. The record is from RNAcentral.
UACAGAGGGUGCGAGCGUUAAUCGGAAUUACUGGGCGUAAAGCGUGCGUAGACGGUUAUCUAAGUCGGAUGUGAAAGCCCCGGGCUCAACCUGGGAAUUGCAUUCGAGACUGAAUAGCUAGGGUGCGGUAGAGGGAAGCGGAAUUUCCGGUGUAGCGGUGAAAUGCGUAGAUAUCGGAAGGAACAUCAGUGGCGAAAGCGGCUUCCUGGGCCAGCACCGACGUUCAGGCACGAAAGCGUGGGGAGCAAACAGG